RNAcentral lists this transfer RNA (75 nucleotides) under Candidatus Uhrbacteria bacterium. Its description in RNAcentral is "tRNA-His". It matches the Rfam family "tRNA". Rfam says of the family: Transfer RNA (tRNA) molecules are approximately 80 nucleotides in length. Their secondary structure includes four short double-helical elements and three loops (D, anti-codon, and T loops). The record is from RNAcentral. Lineage: Bacteria; Candidatus Uhriibacteriota.
GUGCCUAUAGCACAGUGGUUAGUGCACCGGGUUGUGGUCCCGGCUACGAGGGUCCGAUUCCCUCUAGGCACCCCA